Molecule: transfer RNA, 76 nt
Filed under: Clostridium sp. CAG:492
Lineage: Bacteria; Bacillati; Bacillota; Clostridia; Eubacteriales; Clostridiaceae
Also listed under: 8 other names
Description: transfer RNA-Val(TAC)
Rfam family: tRNA
About the family: Transfer RNA (tRNA) molecules are approximately 80 nucleotides in length. Their secondary structure includes four short double-helical elements and three loops (D, anti-codon, and T loops).
Source: RNAcentral
GGGCGCAUAGCUCAGCUGGGAGAGCAUCUGCCUUACAAGCAGGAGGUCAUAGGUUCGAGCCCUAUUGCGCCCACCA